UCUGCUCAUACCCCAUGGUUUCU
RNAcentral lists this microRNA (23 nucleotides) under Macaca mulatta (Rhesus monkey). Its description in RNAcentral is "mml-miR-767-3p". Its record names the gene mml-miR-767-3p. RNAcentral also lists the same sequence under 2 other names. The record is from miRBase by way of RNAcentral. Lineage: Eukaryota; Metazoa; Chordata; Mammalia; Primates; Cercopithecidae.